CAUGUGUUUUGCAAAAUUGUAUCUUGGGUGUU
This 32-nucleotide non-coding RNA is filed under the name Mus musculus (house mouse). Lineage: Eukaryota; Metazoa; Chordata; Mammalia; Rodentia; Muridae. The record is from RNAcentral.